GCCUCGGAAGUGUAGUGGCAGCACGCGUCCUCGGUAUGGAUGGAACGCGGGUUCAACUCCUCCCGCCUGAGGUG
Molecule: non-coding RNA, 74 nt
Organism: Parelaphostrongylus tenuis
Lineage: Eukaryota; Metazoa; Nematoda; Chromadorea; Rhabditida; Metastrongylidae
Source: the annotation of a GenBank genome assembly